Molecule: long non-coding RNA, 792 nt
Organism: Ailuropoda melanoleuca (giant panda)
Lineage: Eukaryota; Metazoa; Chordata; Mammalia; Carnivora; Ursidae
Exons: 3
Source: RefSeq, a predicted model, not a curated record
UCGACACGUUGAGAACGAGAGUUUGAGAAGCAGACUCAGGAAUGGCCAGGACUCCCGCUUCCACAGUUUCCAUUGACACUGGAAGGAAAUGGUCCAGGAAAAACUAGCUUCGAGGGUCUACUGCGGAAAGGGGGUGUCAGGCGAGGCGCCGGCGCCUUUUUCUUGAACUAGCUCAAGCCUCUCUUGAUCUUCCCAUCAAAACUCUCGGCCCCUCCCUCGCCCCCUCCCGCUCCCCUUGCGGGCCGGAGCCCCUGCUGGCCCGUUGUGGAGUGGGUCAGUCGAGAUUAGGAAGGAGCAGGGGCUGCUGGUGUCUGGGUGAGGCCGGGGGUGGGGCGUGGUGGAAAACUGUACUCACGAGCAUGGGCGAGCUCUGCCCAGUGCAGGCGUCCUCUUCCGUGGGCAGGCGUCCCCCCGGGGGUCGUCUGGGCAGUGCCAGAGCUGCCCCCAGCAGGAGCGACAGGCGGCCUGGCCGCUCUCCCUGCCCUCUUGAGAGCCCGGCCGCUGGCAGGGAGCGAGCGGGAAGCAGGAGGGAGAAGUCCGGGCGCCGCUGGGGAGCCCCAGAAGGGGGUCGCCGGAGAAGGAAGAGUGAUUGGCCCAGGGGAUACCCUGCCUCCCACUUGCACUCCUUGCCCUGAAUGAAAGGAAGCAAAAAUCCUGAUGGAGAAAAAAAAUUCUGCUGAAGAUGGGUCUCAUGACACGAGUGCUACCGACCCAGCAAAACUGGUGAAGGAUCCAAAUGAAAGAACAACUGAAGGAACUGCAACAAUAAAUGUAGGCAACACUGUGUUGGUA